RNAcentral lists this ribosomal RNA (603 nucleotides) under Salmonella enterica subsp. enterica serovar Typhimurium var. 5-. Its description in RNAcentral is "bacterial LSU rRNA". It matches the Rfam family "Bacterial large subunit ribosomal RNA", at positions 607 to 1211 of the family's 2925-position model. The record is from RNAcentral. Lineage: Bacteria; Pseudomonadati; Pseudomonadota; Gammaproteobacteria; Enterobacterales; Enterobacteriaceae.
UUUGUAUAAUGGGUCAGCGACUUAUAUUCUGUAGCAAGGUUAACCGUAUAGGGGAGCCGGAGGGAAACCGAGUCUUAACCGGGCGUUAAGUUGCAGGGUAUAGACCCGAAACCCGGUGAUCUAGCCAUGGGCAGGUUGAAGGUUGGGUAACACUAACUGGAGGACCGAACCGACUAAUGUUGAAAAAUUAGCGGAUGACCUGUGGCUGGGGGUGAAAGGCCAAUCAAACCGGGAGAUAGCUGGUUCUCCCCGAAAGCUAUUUAGGUAGCGCCUCGUGAAUUCAUCUCCGGGGGUAGAGCACUGUUUCGGCUAGGGGGCCAUCCCGGCUUACCAACCCGAUGCAAACUGCGAAUACCGGAGAAUGUUAUCACGGGAGACACACGGCGGGUGCUAACGUCCGUCGUGAAGAGGGAAACAACCCAGACCGCCAGCUAAGGUCCCAAAGUCAUGGUUAAGUGGGAAACGAUGUGGGAAGGCCCAGACAGCCAGGAUGUUGGCUUAGAAGCAGCCAUCAUUUAAAGAAAGCGUAAUAGCUCACUGGUCGAGUCGGCCUGCGCGGAAGAUGUAACGGGGCUAAACCAUGCACCGAAGCUGCGGCAGCGA